RNAcentral lists this ribosomal RNA (433 nucleotides) under Podosphaera fusca. RNAcentral's name for it is "eukaryotic LSU rRNA". The stretch from base 118 to 271 matches the Rfam family "5.8S ribosomal RNA". The record is from RNAcentral. Lineage: Eukaryota; Fungi; Ascomycota; Leotiomycetes; Helotiales; Erysiphaceae.
UCUUUUCUGUAACUUUGGCGGGCCGGGCUCGACCUGCCGGCUCCGGCUGGCGAGUGCCCGUCAGAGAAGCCCCAACUCGUCAUGUGAGUGUUGUCUGAGGAAAUGUGGAAUUAGUAAAACUUUCAACAACGGAUCUCUUGGCUCUGGCAUCGAUGAAGAACGCAGCGAAAUGCGAUAAGUAAUGUGAAUUGCAGAAUUUAGUGAAUCAUCGAAUCUUUGAACGCACAUUGCGCCCCCCGGCAUUCCGAGGGGCAUGCCUGCUCGAGCGUCAGAACACCCCUCAAGCCUGGCUUGGUCUUGGGGCUCGCCGGCUCGGCGGCCCCUAAACGCAGUGGCGGUGCUGUUGUGCUCUCCGCGUAGUCAUGUAUCUCGCGACAGAGCGGCGACGGCACCCGCCAGAACCCCAGUCUUUGGAUGACCCUCGGCCCCCCCC